RNAcentral lists this microRNA precursor (223 nucleotides) under Eucalyptus grandis. RNAcentral's name for it is "MIR159 microRNA precursor family". It matches the Rfam family "MIR159 microRNA precursor family". The record is from Rfam by way of RNAcentral. Lineage: Eukaryota; Viridiplantae; Streptophyta; Magnoliopsida; Myrtales; Myrtaceae.
CGAGAUCAAAGAGAGCUUUCUUCGGUCCACACACGGGUGGAUUUAGGGUUCAAUUGGCUGCCGACUCAUUCAUCCAAAUACUGAGUUUUAUUCAUGGCGGAUGUCAAAGUUCAAUGGGGCAAAUUAUUAUUGAUUGCUCAGUAAAUGAGUGAUUGAUGCGGGAGACUUGUUGGAUCUUAAUCUUCCUGUCCUUGGACUGAAGGGAGCUCCCUUUUACAUCAAG